ACAAACGCAUAAGACAAAUUGAUGACAU
Molecule: non-coding RNA, 28 nt
Filed under: Trypanosoma brucei brucei
Lineage: Eukaryota; Euglenozoa; Kinetoplastea; Trypanosomatida; Trypanosomatidae
Source: RNAcentral